Molecule: ribosomal RNA, 501 nt
Filed under: uncultured bacterium
Lineage: Bacteria
Description: partial 16S ribosomal RNA
Rfam family: Bacterial small subunit ribosomal RNA
Source: RNAcentral
AGUGAACGCUGGCGGCAGGCUUAACACAUGCAAGUCGAGCGGAGAUGAGGUGCUAGCACCUUAUCUUAGCGGCGGAAGGGUGAGGAAUGCUUAGGAAUCUGCCUAUUAGUGGGGGACAACAUUCCGAAAGGAAUGCUAAUACCGCAUACGUACUACGGGAGAAAGCAGGGGAUCUUCGGACCUUGCGCUAAUAGAUGAGCCUAAGUAGGAUUAGCUAGUUGGUGGGGUAAAGGCUGACCAAGGCGACGAUCUGUAGCGGGUCUGAGAGGUGGAUCCGCCACACUGGGACUGAGUCACGGCCCAGACUCCUACGGGAGGCAGCAGUGGGUAAUAUUGGACAAUGGGGGGAACCCUGAUCCAGCCAUGCCGCGUGUGUGAAGAAGGCCUUAUGGUUGUAAAGCACUUUAAGCGAGGAGGAGGCUACUGAGACUAAUACUCUUGGAUAGUGGACGUUACUCGCAGAAUAAGCACCGUCUAAUUCUGUGCCAGCAGCCGCCGUAA